Molecule: ribosomal RNA, 403 nt
Filed under: uncultured bacterium
Lineage: Bacteria
Description: partial 16S ribosomal RNA
Rfam family: Bacterial small subunit ribosomal RNA
Source: RNAcentral
GACGAACGCUGGCGGCGUGCCUAAUACAUGCAAGUCGAACGCAGUGGGGACGGGUGCGUAACACGUGGGUAACCUCCCAUCAGAGGGGAUAACACUUGGAAACAGGUGCUAAACCGAUACUGAUGGAUGGACCCGCGGUGCAUUAGCUAGUUGGUGAGGUAACGGCUCACCAAGGCCACGAUGCAUAGCUGGUCUGAGAUGAUGACCAGCCACACUGGGACUGAGACACGGCCCAGACUCCUACGGUAGGCAGCAGUGGGGAAUUUUGGACAAGGGGGGAAACCCUGAUCCAGCCAUCCCGCGUGGGCGAUGAAGGCCUUCGGGUUGUAAAGCACUUUUGGCAGGAAAGCGGUACCUGCAGAAUAAGCACCGGCUAACUACGUGCCAGCCGCCGCGGUAAUAC